UCUCUCCCUUUGAGGCUCUCUAGCUGGAAGUUGGAAUCUCCUUACAGUGUCUAUUACGUAGCUGGAGAAAAGAGUCAAGUUGCAGAUGACACAAAUGUGUGUGUUGAGAAACUGACGGAGCCUUAUAACCUUUCUGAAAGACCUCAUUGGAACCACCGUACUCAGAAAUUGUAUUUUGUCGACCUAUAUAAGUAUAUACGUAGACUACACCCUGCAACAGGUGUUAAGCUGUUCGUAUAUUCCACAGCGCA
Harpegnathos saltator (Jerdon's jumping ant) is the source of this 251-nucleotide long non-coding RNA. RefSeq lists it as uncharacterized. The transcript is spliced from 3 exons. Lineage: Eukaryota; Metazoa; Arthropoda; Insecta; Hymenoptera; Formicidae. The record is from RefSeq and is a predicted model, not a curated record.